Long non-coding RNA from Armigeres subalbatus, 1422 nucleotides. RefSeq lists it as uncharacterized. The record is from RefSeq and is a predicted model, not a curated record. The transcript is spliced from 4 exons. Lineage: Eukaryota; Metazoa; Arthropoda; Insecta; Diptera; Culicidae.
UGAUAGCUAAUAAUAUUGUAACAUCGUUACAUUACCCUAAACACAUUCGGAGAAAAAUAUUUUCUUAGAAUCAUUCUAAGAAAAUAUUUUUCUAAGUAUCUCUAUAAGCUAAAUUAGAAGGUUCGUUUAUUCUCGUUGUAGCCCAGAAUAUUGAUUUUUGAUUUGGUUCUGCUGUUGGACCACUUUCAUAUAGUUUUGAUUACUUUAAUUGAACAAAGUUCGAAACGGUAUUUAUUUCAUACCAAAAUUCUGCUCAAAUUUCACCCAUGUUUGGGUAUUAAACGUCAAGAAUUACUCGACAGAUUCCUAAUACAGUUUUCCCAUAUAGGGUUAACGUUAAGAAAUACUUAACAGACUUUUAUAACUUAUCUCCUGCGACCCAAAAUGUUCCCUUUUUAAAUGGAACCAAAUUACUCCUUUUAAUAAUAACGACUAAUAAGAGGUAUCUAAUAGCAAUCAAACUGCCAGCAUAAUCAAGUGGUCCAUCAUUCUGACCUCUACUGUAAGUGACAGCAUAACCGAUGAACUUCUGACGAAGUUGACGUUUGCUCAUGUUCAUUCGGCAAAACAUUGUUUUGAUUUAACUCGCUCCUGCAAUAGUUUAAUUUAUUUUAGUAUUUCCAUUAGUUAAUACAGGUUUAAAUGCAUGUUGCUGCUGAACUUCUAUGUGGAUCCGGAGUAUGAAAAUGAAUUGAGCUCGAAGUCAUGUUGCUGUAAUUUCAUCGCCCAACGCACUAGUCGAGCCGAAUUGCCCUCCACUGAAACUUGAUUCAGCCAUUUCAACGACUGCGCAUCAGUGAUUACUUUGAAUACGGUUCCCUCGACAUAGUGUCGGAACCUUUCAAUCGCUAGUAUGACGCCCAGACAUUCUCGCUCCGUGGCAGAAUAUUUUUGUUGGGUAGCCGACAGCUUUUUUGAAUAGAACGAAAUGGGUCUCUUCAAGCCUUCUUGCACCUGCAUGAGAACUGCCCCAACGGCAUGAGCUGACGCAUCAGACUCAAUGAUGAAUUGCGCUCCAAACUUGGGAUUUGCGAGAAUCGGUGGAGAUGAGGUCCGUUAUGGGCGAUAGGAUUUCACUGUAGUUGGGAAUAAACUGCUUGAAGAACCCAAUCAUACCGAUUAAGCAGCGGAUUUCUUUCACUGUUUUUGGCGCCGGAUAGCUGAGGAUUGGUUCCAGCUUCUCGCUGUCUAUUGAAAUUCCCUCAUCGGACAGUAUGUAACCUAGCAAAACCCGUUGGUUGGGCGCCAAUGAAACAAGCGGGGAAGCUCACUAAACUAACUUUGCUUCCGCGCCAGGCAGCGAAGCUGCCGCAAAGCCGCGAUGUAACAAAUGCCCGAUGAGACUCUGAUAGGUUCACUUCCGAAACACACAAGCCACUAACAACCCAUUAAAGAACCAACACUUUCCGAAAUUAUUUCUAG